ACUGGGCCAUAAAUCCUCCUUGGCCACCGGAUCCACCUCCUUGUGUUUGGCAGGGAUCAGGAACAGACCAGGAACCUACUGCCAUAUGACUGGGCCAUCAAUCCUCCUUGGCCACCGUAUCCACCUCCUUGUGCAUCACUGCCAUAUGACUGGGCCAUAAAUCCUCCUUGGCCACCGGAUCCACCUCCUUGUGUUUGGCAGGGAUCAGGAACAGA
Nanorana parkeri is the source of this 215-nucleotide long non-coding RNA. RefSeq lists it as uncharacterized. The transcript is spliced from 4 exons. Lineage: Eukaryota; Metazoa; Chordata; Amphibia; Anura; Dicroglossidae. The record is from RefSeq and is a predicted model, not a curated record.